GACGAACGCUGGCGGCGUGCCUAAUACAUGCAAGUAGAACGCACAGUUUAUACCGUAGCUUGCUACACCAUAAACUGUGAGUUGCGAACGGGUGAGUAACGCGUAGGUAACUUGCCUGGUAGCGGGGGAUAACUAUUGGAAACGAUAGCUAAUACCGCAUAAUAUUGAUUAUUGCAUGAUAAUUGAUUGAAAGAUGCUAUUGCAUCACUACCAGAUGGACCUGCGUUGUAUUAGCUAGGAGGUGAGGUAACGGCUCACCUAGGCGACGAUACAUAGCCGACCUGAGAGGGUGAUCGGCCACACUGGGACUGAGACACGGCCCAGACUCCUACGGGAGGCAGCAGUAGGGAAUCUUCGGCAAUGGACGAAAGUCUGACCGAGCAACGCCGCGUGAGUGAAGAAGGUUUUCGGAUCGUAAAGCUCUGUUGUAAGAGAAGAACGGGUGUGAGAGUGGAAAGUUCACACUGUGACGGUAUCUUACCAGAAAGGGACGGCUAACUACGUG
Molecule: ribosomal RNA, 505 nt
Filed under: uncultured bacterium
Lineage: Bacteria
Description: partial 16S ribosomal RNA
Rfam family: Bacterial small subunit ribosomal RNA
Source: RNAcentral